AAAUUACGUAUUUCUGAUAUUGUUUUAAAGAUGGUGGUCGAGGCGCUUUUACAUAUACAUAGUUAGUUCACAGUUGGCAAUAUAAAGCUAUUCGUUCUUGAAACGUGUGAAAGGUGUGUUCCAGUCGUUUCUACAGUCUGCAUUUAUCGGUUCCUUCAACUGAGCCCACUUUUUUUCAUAUUUAAAUGAUUAUCCUAAAAUUCAGUUUAGAACUGUGCUAUAAAAUAUUUAAUUCAAAACAAAUAAAAGCAAUAUUUGAAAAUUCAACCGGACAAUGUUUGAAUGCUCAAUUCAGCUGAUUUAACACACACGUAUAUUUAUUGUAAAGCUGUGGUUAACAAUUACGAAAUGUGUUUGUUUGCUUUGACAUCAUCAGCACGUUUGUUGUUGAUAACGACAUCGAUUCAAUCGAAUAUUUACUUUAGUUCUAUUUUCUAACGAACUCCGCUUUUUUCUAGCUCAUCCGAUACAUGGUUCUCCACCUGAACAGAAGCUCGUUGAUUCCAGUAUAGAUUAGCGACAAUUCUGAAGUCACGUUGAUCCAGCCCGAUGCUUCGAAGGUUUUGUAUCAGUUUAGAAUGUUGUACUUUAUCAAAAGCUUUCUCAUAAUAUAUGAAACACAUGUA
This is a long non-coding RNA of Dendroctonus ponderosae (mountain pine beetle), 626 nucleotides long. RefSeq lists it as uncharacterized. The record is from RefSeq and is a predicted model, not a curated record. NCBI's taxonomy places the organism in Eukaryota, Metazoa, Arthropoda, Insecta, Coleoptera, Curculionidae. The transcript is spliced from 2 exons.